RNAcentral lists this ribosomal RNA (429 nucleotides) under Chloroflexota bacterium. RNAcentral's name for it is "Chloroflexi bacterium partial 16S ribosomal RNA". It matches the Rfam family "Bacterial small subunit ribosomal RNA", at positions 355 to 776 of the family's 1533-position model. Lineage: Bacteria; Bacillati; Chloroflexota. The record is from RNAcentral.
UGGGGAAUAUUGCACAAUGGGCGCAAGCCUUAUGCAGCCAUGCCGCGUGUGUGAAGAAGGCCUUCGGGGUUUAAAGCACUUUUAGCGGGGAGGAAGGCGAUAAGGUUAAUAACCUUGUCGAUUGACGUUACCCGCAGAAGAAGCACCGGCUAACUCCGUGCCAGCAGCCGCGGUAAUACGGAGGGUGCAAGCGUUAAUCGGAAUUACUGGGCGUAAAGCGCACGCAGGCGGUCUGUCAAGUCGGAUGUGAAAUCCCCGGGCUCAACCUGGGAAUUGCAUUCGAAACUGGCAGGCUAGAGUCUGGUAGAGGGGGGUAGAAUUCCAGGUGUAGCGGUGAAAUGCGUAGAGAUCUGGAGGAAUACCGGUGGCGAAGGCGGCCCCCGGGACAAAGACUGACGCUCAGGUGCGAAAGCGUGGGGAGCAAACAGG